Molecule: long non-coding RNA, 519 nt
Filed under: Mytilus galloprovincialis (Mediterranean mussel)
Lineage: Eukaryota; Metazoa; Mollusca; Bivalvia; Mytilida; Mytilidae
Source: RNAcentral
GUGAUAUGUCCAUCUGACUUUGAUUUACAUGGUUCAUUUGUCGAACAGCAAUAUUUCAUGUUUUUUUUGUUAUUCAAAUUCUGUAAGCAAUAAUUGCAUGGUGUAAAUGUUGUCUGGCAUGGUUUUUAUAACCUUGACCUCAUUUUCAUUAUUUAUUAGUUGAUGUUCAAUUUUUUGUAAUUAUAUUUCAUUUGAUAUAUGGGUUCCUUGUAAGGUCUACAUGUCUGGCAGACAGGGUUCAUCUGACUUCAACCUCAUUUCAUGGAUCAGUGAUACAGGGGUCACCACACCAGGUGAAGUGAGCUAUAAAGUCACUGUAGGUCUCCCCACUUCGCUCUAGAGAAGCUCCAGAGAGAAGUUUAUGUCACCCUCAUUUUCAAUAAAUACCCCAAUGUCGCCUCAUGAUUUUUUGAGAAAUUCUCUAUCCAAACGUAAACAACCAAUAGGUAAUGAAAUACAAUUUUGUUAUGUUUGUUUAUUGUCCAACAUCUUCGUAAUUUAAAAUUGUAGAUGGCGCCA